AGUGAACGCUGGCGGUAGGCCUAACACAUGCAAGUCGAGCGGCAGCACAGUAAGAGCUUGCUCUUACGGGUGGCGAGUGGCGGACGGGUGAAGAAUACAUCGGAAUCUACUUUUUCGUGGGGGAUAACGUAGGGAAACUUACGCUAAUACCGCAUACGACCUACGGGUGAAAGCAGGGGAUCUUCGGACCUUGCGCGAUUGAAUGAGCCGAUGUCGGAUUAGCUAGUUGGCGGGGUAAAGGCCCACCAAGGCGACGAUCCGUAGCUGGUCUGAGAGGAUGAUCAGCCACACUGGAACUGAGACACGGUCCAGACUCCUACGGGAGGCAGCAGUGGGGAAUAUUGGACAAUGGGCGCAAGCCUGAUCCAGCCAUACCGCGUGGGUGAAGAAGGCCUUCGGGUUGUAAAGCCCUUUUGUUGGGAAAGAAAAGCAGCAGGUUAAUACCCCGCUGUUCUGACGGUACCCAAAGAAUAAGCACCGGCUAACUUCGUG
Molecule: ribosomal RNA, 492 nt
Filed under: uncultured bacterium
Lineage: Bacteria
Description: partial 16S ribosomal RNA
Rfam family: Bacterial small subunit ribosomal RNA
Source: RNAcentral